RNAcentral lists this ribosomal RNA (474 nucleotides) under uncultured bacterium. RNAcentral describes it as "bacterial SSU rRNA". It matches the Rfam family "Bacterial small subunit ribosomal RNA", at positions 335 to 799 of the family's 1533-position model. The record is from RNAcentral.
ACUCCUACGGGAGGCAGCAGUGGGGAAUUUUGGACAAUGGGGGCAACCCUGAUCCAGCAAUGCCGCGUGAGUGAAGAAGGCCCUCGGGUUGUAAAGCUCUUUUGUCAGGGAAGAAACGGUGAUCUCUAAUAUAGAUUGCUAAUGACGGUACCUGAAGAAUAAGCACCGGCUAACUACGUGCCAGCAGCCGCGGUAAUACGUAGGGGUGCAAGCGUUAAUCGGAAUUACUGGGCGUAAAGCGUGCGCAGGCGGUUUUGUAAGUCUGAUGUGAAAUCCCCGGGGCUCAACCUGGGAACUGCAUUGGAGACUGCAAGGCUAGAGUGUGUCAGAGGGGGUAGAAUUCCACGUGUAGCAGUGAAAUGCGUAGAGAUGUGGAGGAAUACCGAUGGCGAAGGCAGCCCCCUGGGAUAACACUGACGCUCAUGCACGAAAGCGUGGGGAGCAAACAGGAUUAGAUACCCUGGUAGCACAGAG